GCGCACGGGUGAGUAACACGUAUCCAACCUACCGGUUAUUCCGGGAUAGCCUUUCGAAAGAAAGAUUAAUACCGGAUAGUAUAACGAGAAGGCAUCUUUUUGUUAUUAAAGAAUUUCGAUAACCGAUGGGGAUGCGUUCCAUUAGUUUGUUGGCGGGGUAACGGCCCACCAAGACAUCGAUGGAUAGGGGUUCUGAGAGGAAGGUCCCCCACAUUGGAACUGAGACACGGUCCAAACUCCUACGGGAGGCAGCAGUGAGGAAUAUUGGUCAAUGGACGAGAGUCUGAACCAGCCAAGUAGCGUGAAGGAUGACUGCCCUAUGGGUUGUAAACUUCUUUUAUAUGGGAAUAAAGUGAGCCACGUGUGGCUUUUUGUAUGUACCAUACGAAUAAGGAUCGGCUAACUCCGUGCCAGCAGCCGCGGUAAUACGGAGGAUCCGAGCGUUAUCCGGAUUUAUUGGGUUUAAAGGGAGCGUAGGCGGACUAUUAAGUCAGCUGUGAAAGUUUGCGGCUCAACCGUAAAAUUGCAGUUGAUACUGGUCGUCUUGAGUGCAGUAGAGGUAGGCGGAAUUCGUGGUGUAGCGGUGAAAUGCUUAGAUAUCAC
Molecule: ribosomal RNA, 603 nt
Filed under: uncultured Bacteroidales bacterium
Lineage: Bacteria; Pseudomonadati; Bacteroidota; Bacteroidia; Bacteroidales
Description: bacterial SSU rRNA
Rfam family: Bacterial small subunit ribosomal RNA
Source: RNAcentral